RNAcentral lists this ribosomal RNA (402 nucleotides) under bacterium. Its description in RNAcentral is "partial 16S ribosomal RNA". It matches the Rfam family "Bacterial small subunit ribosomal RNA", at positions 355 to 776 of the family's 1533-position model. The record is from RNAcentral.
UGGGGAAUUUUGCACAAUGGGGGAAACCCUGAUGCAGCGACGCCGCGUGAUUCAGAAGGCCUUCGGGUUGUAAAAAUCUUUUCUAUGGGAAGAAAAUGACAGUACCAUAGGAAUAAGGACCGGCUAAUUACGUGCCAGCAGCCGCGGUAAUACGUAAGGUCCGAGCGUUGUCCGGAAUCAUUGGGCGUAAAGGGUACGCAGGCGGGUAAGCAAGUUAGAAGUGAAAUCCUAUAGCUCAACUAUAGUAAGCUUUUAAAACUGCUCAUCUUGAGGUAUGGAAGGGAAAGUGGAAUUCCUAGUGUAGCGGUGAAAUGCGCAGAUAUUAGGAGGAAUACCGGUGGCGAAGGCGACUUUCUGGCCAUAACCUGACGCUGAGGUACGAGAGCGUGGGUAGCAAACGGG